RNAcentral lists this long non-coding RNA (1738 nucleotides) under Mus musculus (house mouse). RNAcentral describes it as "long non-coding RNA chr15:81825121-81826859". Lineage: Eukaryota; Metazoa; Chordata; Mammalia; Rodentia; Muridae. The record is from RNAcentral.
UGGUGGCUUAGUUUGGGGCCCCUAUCUUUUAAGACUUUUCAUAAUGAUGUUAAGACCAGGGCAGACUGUCUACUGGCCAUGGACUGCAGCCAGGAGAUGCCCUGCCCCUCCUGGGACCUGCACACCACCUCUCUGGGGAACUUGACAAAGGUCCCUAAGGCUAAGGGAGGUCUCCCUCCUACUAGGUCCCUGACUUUGACUCUGUGGUUCUCUAGGAACCGUGUGCACACUUGUCUCUGUUGUAACUACAAAGGGCAGUAGCAUCCAGCAUGUCAGUGUCUGCCCGGGCUGCCUGCCUCCUACCCACCCAGCACUAUUCUCUGGGCUGGCUGUUCACCCAGAGGCAGUUCUCAUUUUGUUUCUGGUGGACAAGCCUUGAGCUGAAAAUCUCUUCGUUUUCUUUGACUAGAAAAUGUAAGGUUUCUGUUUUUUAAGUUUUAGUUUUAAGGAAUGGAUACUUAUCUCUGGAUGCCAUCUGUGUUCUGACCCUAGUGGGUGGGUGGGCCUUACCGUCUCCCCUUAGUCCCCGUUCUGCCUUGUGGUGCCCUCCUUUCCUUCCAGAAGUAGGGAGUGGGUUCUGGCUCCUCCUAAGUGCUUACAGAGUCACUGUCUGCUUGUUUCUUGGAGAAGCCUCUGGAAUGAAAAGCGGCAGGGAAACAAACCGGAAGGAGCACGCCUAGAGGUUGACAUCUUGGAGAACAAAGUGUUCACAUAAGCUUGGCUCCUCUGUUGGCUUUAGGACCCAAGGCUGCACAGAAAGAGUUGAGCUCUGCUCUUUAUCUUGCUGUGGAAGUCUCCUGACUCCCUCUAGGAGCUGACAGCUGAAGCCUGAAGCUCUUGCACUUGGAUCCUUGAAUUCUAAGGAGUAACCAGGCUCCAGAAGCCAACUUCUAUUUGGCUUUCCGUGGGUUUGUCUUAGGAUGAGAAGUGUCAUCACUUCCUAAACAUCCUGUUCUCAGCUAUGGCAGCCUCAGAAAAGACACCUGAAUGAGUUAGAACCCUGCAGGAAUGUACAUUCAAGAGAUGUCUUGAUAAAGAACUACGUGCUUUUGGAAAGAGCCACCCUUUGGAGGACCUGUUAGUCACCUUUAUCUUCAGCCCAAAGGCUAAGUUAUGUGGGUCUGACUCCUUUGGUUAGGGACAGCACUAGACAGUGACCCUAACCCUUGGUCCAUACUCCCUGCUGUGAUGGUGCUGUGGUCUGCUUUCCACUCAGGCAGCUCCUACAGUCCUCCAGCCUGGGGACAGAUGGGAAGCUUUCCAGGGGCCCCCCGAGAGGUGUGCUCCCUGUAAGAGGGGCCUGUAAGAGGAGCUCUUGGUUUCCAGGGCAAAGCCCUACCCACAGCUUCUUUAACAUCUGUUAAUUAAGUGCAAUAAAAUUUUCUAGAAAAAGGCAAAGAUGAUUUCCAGGUAGAGAUUGCUGUCUUUUGGUGUUGGAUGCCAGAACACCACUUGGUUUUAUUUUUCUAAGUGCAUGUGAUUGGUAGAGUGUGUGGGCUCUGCAUCCUCCCUGGGAGCUGCAUUCCAGCAGCCCCUCUCCCUACCUUUGCCGUGGGAAAGAGGCCAGGAGAAAAGCCCUUUGUCCCAGCUGCAGAGGUGGAAGCAGACAGCAGCCCUUUGGCCUUACAUGUGUGUGUGUGCCUGUGCGAGUGUGUCCCUGCUGGUGGGCCGGAGUGAUGUGUUAUGGAGGGAAGUUGGGAAUGUAUCCUUUUCAAACAAAAUUAAAUAUUUUGAGACG